AGGGCAUGGUGUGGAAACUUCUUAAAUAAUUCUUUAGAUCUCUCCCAAGAAUCAAAAAAGGAUUCCCCAUCUAAUUGGGUAAAUAAGGUGAUAUCAUUUGUAAGAUU
Molecule: small nucleolar RNA, 107 nt
Organism: Dendrobium catenatum
Lineage: Eukaryota; Viridiplantae; Streptophyta; Magnoliopsida; Asparagales; Orchidaceae
Source: RefSeq, a predicted model, not a curated record